GUAAGAACUGGUGGAAUAGGGCAAAGACAAAAACCUGACUAAAUAGGCAGGCAAAUCGCUAGGGACCACAAUUUGUGACCAGUAGGUCACUGGUUCCAGUCCGGGUGGCGUCCUGCUGUUGAACGUUUGAAUGCUUCAAAGCUAGUUUGAUAAGUGAGGUUAUGUUACGUCUGCAGUGUGAAACAAAUACUGGAAAUUAAAAGCAGCUGUAUAUUUUGGUUAAAGUAAUCCCCUUCUGCCUGGCUUCCAGUGAUUCAGACCCCCGGGGACCCUGACCAGGACAAGCAGUUAAUGAAAAUGGAUGGAUGGAUGGAUGGAUGGAUGGAUGGAUGGAUAAACUGAAGUCCAGCUGCAGAGAAUGAGAUUGGAUUUACUGGAACUGUACUCAGCGAUCCUGCAGGUCGCGGUGAUUUCGGGCACGGGGAGAGGCGCGCUCCCGCAGCAGCUCGCGGAGACGACGAGGAGAACGACGCCGGCGCAGGCGGGCACGAGGGAGGAAACGCGGACACGCACGCAGGGAUCACCGUAACCCGCUGACAGGACGCGUCCGCACGCGCACGACGGCGGAGGUGUUGAAAUAUCCCAUCUCAUCAUCACUCGCACUGCUUCCCGCCCCCUCGUAACCUGGGGAUGAACGCACCGAUGAGGAGCCUGACAGUGAGUGCUGCGGCCCCACCCCCCUGUCUGUCAACAGCACCCCACUGAAUGUCGCAUAUA
This 717-nucleotide long non-coding RNA is filed under the name Scleropages formosus (Asian bonytongue). RNAcentral's name for it is "lncRNA (ENSSFOG00015024316.1)". Lineage: Eukaryota; Metazoa; Chordata; Actinopteri; Osteoglossiformes; Osteoglossidae. The record is from RNAcentral.